AGCGAACGCUGGCGGCAGGCUUAACGCAUGCAAGUCGAGCGGGCAUCCUUGUGGUGUCCGCGGCAGACGGGUGAGUAACGCGUGGGAACGUGCCCUUCGGUUCGGAAUAACUCAGGGAAACUUGAGCUAAUACCGGAUACGUGCGAGAGCAGAAAGGUUUAUCUGCCGAAGGAUCGGCCCGCGUCUGAUUAGCUAGUUGGUGAGGUUAUGGCUCACCAAGGCGACGAUCAGUAGCUGGUCUGAGAGGAUGAUCAGCCACACUGGGACUGAGACACGGCCCAGACUCCUACGGGAGGCAGCAGUGGGGAAUAUUGGACAAUGGGGGCAACCCUGAUCCAGCCAUGCCGCGUGAGUGAUGACGGCCUUAGGGUUGUAAAGCUCUUUUCUCCGGGACGAUAAUGACGGUACCGGAGGAAUAAGCCCCGGCUAACUUCGUG
RNAcentral lists this ribosomal RNA (437 nucleotides) under uncultured bacterium. RNAcentral describes it as "partial 16S ribosomal RNA". It matches the Rfam family "Bacterial small subunit ribosomal RNA", at positions 29 to 507 of the family's 1533-position model. The record is from RNAcentral.